Molecule: ribosomal RNA, 356 nt
Filed under: uncultured bacterium
Lineage: Bacteria
Description: bacterial SSU rRNA
Rfam family: Bacterial small subunit ribosomal RNA
Source: RNAcentral
GAGUUUGAUCCUGGCUCAGGAUGAACGCUGGCGGCGUGCUUAACACAUGCAAGUCGAGCGAAGCAUUUUGAAGUCUUCGGACAGAUGAGUGACUGAGCGGCGGACGGGUGAGUAACGCGUGGGUAACCUGCCUCAUACAGGGGGAUAACAGUUAGAAAUGACUGCUAAUACCGCAUAAGCGCACAGUACUGCAUGGUACGGUGUGAAAAACUCCGGUGGUAUGAGAUGGACCCGCGUCUGAUUAGGUAGUUGGUGAGGUAACGGCCCACCAAGCCGACGAUCAGUAGCCGACCUGAGAGGGUGACCGGCCACAUUGGGACUGAGACACGGCCCAAACUCCUACGGGAGGCAGCAGU